This 450-nucleotide ribosomal RNA is filed under the name uncultured bacterium. RNAcentral's name for it is "partial 16S ribosomal RNA". It matches the Rfam family "Bacterial small subunit ribosomal RNA", at positions 354 to 796 of the family's 1533-position model. The record is from RNAcentral.
GUGGGGAAUCUUCCACAAUGGACGAAAGUCUGAUGGAGCAACGCCGCGUGAGUGAAGAAGGGUUUCGGCUCGUAAAGCUCUGUUGUCGGGGACGAAUGUGCAGUAUUUGAAUAAAGUAGUGUAAUGACGGUACCUGACGAGGAAGCCACGGCUAACUACGUGCCAGCAGCCGCGGUAAUACGUAGGUGGCAAGCGUUGUCCGGAAUUAUUGGGCGUAAAGGGAGCGCAGGCGGGAAGGUAAGUCGGUCUUAAAAGUGCGGGGCUCAACCCCGUGAUGGGAUCGAAACUAUCUUUCUUGAGUGCAGGAGAGGAAAGUGGAAUUCCUAGUGUAGCGGUGAAAUGCGUAGAUAUUAGGAGGAACACCAGUGGCGAAGGCGACUUUCUGGACUGUAACUGACGCUGAGGCUCGAAAGCCAGGGGAGCGAACGGGAUUAGAUACCCUAGUAGUCC